UAGAUACCCUGGUAGUCCACGCAGUAAACGAUGAAUGUUAGUCGUCGGGAUGCAAGUCAUUUCGGUGAUGCAGUUAACACAUUAAACAUUCCGCCUGGGGAGUACGGUCGCAAGAUUAAAACUCAAAGGAAUAGACGGGGACCCGCACAAGUGGUGGAGCAUGUGGUUUAAUUCGAAGAUACGCGAAGAACCUUACCUAGCCUUGACAUUGAUAGAAUCUUCCAGAGAUGGAGGAGUGCCUUUCGGGGAACUUGAAAACAGGUGCUGCACGGCUGUCGUCAGCUCGUGUCGUGAGAUGUUGGGUUAAGUCCCGCAACGAGCGCAACCCUCGUCAUUAGUUACUAACAGUUCGGCUGAGGACUCUAAUGAGACUGCCUUCGUAAGGAGGAGGAAGGUGAGGACGACGUCAAGUCAUCAUGGCCCUUACGGCUAGGGCGACACACGUGCUACAAUGGUUAGGACAAUGAGAAGCGAUACCGCGAGGUGGAGCAAAUCUAUAAACCUAAUCUCAGUUCGGAUUGUAGUCUGCAACUCGACUACAUGAAGCUGGAAUCACUAGUAAUCGUAGAUCAGCCAUGCUACGGUGAAUACGUUCCCGGGUCUCGUACUCACCGCCCGUCACACCAUGGGAGUUGAUUUCACCCGAAGCGGGGAAGCUAAACUGGCUACCCUCCACGGUGGAAUUAGCGACUGGGGUGAAGUCGUAACAAGGUA
Molecule: ribosomal RNA, 714 nt
Filed under: uncultured bacterium
Lineage: Bacteria
Description: bacterial SSU rRNA
Rfam family: Bacterial small subunit ribosomal RNA
Source: RNAcentral